This 868-nucleotide unclassified non-coding RNA is filed under the name Helicoverpa zea (corn earworm). RNAcentral's name for it is "uncharacterized LOC124644599, transcript variant X1". The record is from RNAcentral. Lineage: Eukaryota; Metazoa; Arthropoda; Insecta; Lepidoptera; Noctuidae.
CUGUAAGUUUUCAAAUUGCAGAUACUGCAAACUUAAGCACAAUACGCUUUUGCAUUUAGAAGCUAGUGAACCCAAACCACUUUCUAAUCCUCUGCCUUCUGCACUUCUUUCUGUAUCGCCAACUACUUCAGAUGUUGCGCUUUCAGCUAAUUCUAUGCAGCUUGCUACUUCUUCGCAUGUUUUCCUAUCCACAGCUUUGGCGAAAGUGACCAGUGCGACGGGUAAGAAGUUUACUGCGCGCCUACUGCUGGACAACGGCAGUACGGCCAACUUUAUCACGCAGAGUUUAGCGGAGCAACUGGGUUUGUCACAACGCGGUGACUGAUGCCAACAUCACGAGCCUGGAUCGCUGGAAGAGGAUCCAGUACAUCAGACAGCACUUCUGGGGACGCUUCCAUAAUGAGUACACUUCUCUGCUGCAGGCCAAGUCAAAGUGGUUAAAUUCCAGAGGCGAAGUGACACCAGGGUCCUUAGUCCUGAUCAAGGACAAGACGACGCCACCGCUGCUCUGGUCCCUGGGUCGGGUCACUAAGACCUAUCCCGGCGUCGACGGAGUCACGCGGGUGGCUGAGCUAAAGACGAGGAGGGGCACCAUUCGUCGUGCCUUCAACUGCAUCUGCCCGCUCACUAUCGGAGACUUUUGAAGAGCAUCCUUCAACCCGGGGAGUAUGUCGGCGCACCUCAGCGAGCAACCGCGAUGGCGACCGAAGGGAGUGCUGCGGAGGCCGGGGCGGGGGCUGCCCCGGCUGGCGAGCCCGCGGCCGCGCUCCCUUCACUUCUCCCUGCGACGCGCUUGACCACGGGCACUUACUUGUUUUCUUGUUUAUCUUGUAAUUUUAACGGCAUUAAAAGCCUAUGUAAUACAGUC